This 497-nucleotide ribosomal RNA is filed under the name uncultured bacterium. RNAcentral's name for it is "partial 16S ribosomal RNA". It matches the Rfam family "Bacterial small subunit ribosomal RNA", at positions 28 to 507 of the family's 1533-position model. The record is from RNAcentral.
GAUGAACGCUGGCGGCGUGCCUAAUACAUGCAAGUCGAGCGAACAGACGAGGAGCUUGCUCCUCUGACGUUAGCGGCGGACGGGUGAGUAACACGUGGAUAACCUACCUAUAAGACUGGGAUAACUUCGGGAAACCGGAGCUAAUACCGGAUAAUAUAUUGAACCGCAUGGUUCAAUAGUGAAAGACGGUUUUGCUGUCACUUAUAGAUGGAUCCGCGCCGCAUUAGCUAGUUGGUAAGGUAACGGCUUACCAAGGCAACGAUGCGUAGCCGACCUGAGAGGGUGAUCGGCCACACUGGAACGGAGACACGGUCCAGACUCCUACGGGAGGCAGCAGUAGGGAAUCGUCCGCAAUGGGCGAAAGCUUGACGGAGCAACGCCGCGUGAGUGAUGAAGGUCUUCGGAUCGUAAAACUCUGUUAUUAGGGAAGAACAAAUGUGUAAGUAACUAUGCACGUCUUGACGGUACCUAAUCAGAAAGCCACGGCUAACUACGUG